CUUGGUGGCAAUAGAGAAGGGGCAAUACCUGUUCCCAUUCCGAACACAGAAGUUAAGUCCUUCAUCGCCGAUGGUACUGCAUGGGUAACUGUGUGGGAGAGUAGGACGCUGCCAGGA
RNAcentral lists this ribosomal RNA (117 nucleotides) under Chrysiogenales bacterium. The record is from RNAcentral. Lineage: Bacteria; Pseudomonadati; Chrysiogenota; Chrysiogenia; Chrysiogenales.